GACGAACGCUGGCGGCGUGCUUAACACAUGCAAGUCGAACGGAAAGGCCCUGCUUUUGUGGGGUGCUCGAGUGGCGAACGGGUGAGUAACACGUGAGUAACCUGCCCUUUACUUUGGGAUAACUUCAGGAAACUGGGGCUAAUACCGGAUAUGAGCUCCUUCUGCAUGGUGGGGGUUGUAAAGUUUCGGCGGUUGGGGAUGGACUCGCGGCUUAUCAGCUUGUUGGUGGGGUAGUGGCUUACCAAGGCUUUGACGGGUAGCCGGACUGAGGGGGUGACCGGCCACAUUGGGACUGAGAUACGGCCCAGACUCCUACGGGAGGAAGCAGUGGGGAAUAUUGCAAAAUGGGCGGAAGCCUGAUGCAGCAACGCCGCGUGCGGGAUGACGGCCUUCGGGUUGUAAACCGCUUUCGCCUGUGAAGAAGAGUGAGUGACGGUAAUGGGUAAAGAAGCACCGGCUAACUACGUG
This 468-nucleotide ribosomal RNA is filed under the name uncultured bacterium. RNAcentral describes it as "partial 16S ribosomal RNA". It matches the Rfam family "Bacterial small subunit ribosomal RNA", at positions 28 to 507 of the family's 1533-position model. The record is from RNAcentral.